RNAcentral lists this ribosomal RNA (497 nucleotides) under uncultured bacterium. RNAcentral's name for it is "partial 16S ribosomal RNA". It matches the Rfam family "Bacterial small subunit ribosomal RNA", at positions 28 to 507 of the family's 1533-position model. The record is from RNAcentral.
GACGAACGCUGGCGGCGUGCCUAAUACACGCAAGUUGAGUGCUGAAGGUUGGUACUUGUACCAACUGGAUGAGCAGCGAACGGGUGAGUAACGCGUGGGGAAUCUGCCUUUGAGCGGGGGACAACAUUUGGAAGCGAAUGCUAAUACCGCAUAAAAACUUUAAACACAAGUUUUAAGUUUGAAAGAUGCAAUUGCAUCACUCAAAGAUGAUCCCGCGUUGUAUUAGCUAGUUGGUGAGGUAAAGGCUCACCAAGGCGAUGAUACAUAGCCGACCUGAGAGGGUGAUCGGCCACAUUGGGACUGAGACACGGCCCAAACUCCUACGGGGGGCAGCAGUAGGGAAUCUUCGGCAAUGGACGAAAGUCUGACCGAGCAACGCCGCGUGAGUGAAGAAGGUUUUCGGAUCGUAAAACUCUGUUGGUAGAGAAGAACGUUGGUGAGAGUGGAAAGCUCAUCAAGUGACGGUAACUACCCAGAAAGGGACGGCUAACUACGUG